This 378-nucleotide unclassified non-coding RNA is filed under the name plant metagenome. Its description in RNAcentral is "partial contains 5.8S ribosomal RNA, internal transcribed spacer 2, and large subunit ribosomal RNA". The stretch from base 1 to 105 matches the Rfam family "5.8S ribosomal RNA", at positions 50 to 154 of the family's 154-position model. The record is from RNAcentral.
GAAAUGCGAUAAGUAAUGUGAAUUGCAGAAUUCAGUGAAUCAUCGUAUCUUUGAACGCACCUUGCGCUCCUUGGUAUUCCUUGGAGCAUGCCUGUUUGAGUAUCAUGAAAUCUUCAAAGUAAAUCUUUUGUUAACUCAAUUGGUUUCUACUUUGGUAUUGGAGGUCUUUGCAGCUUCACACCUGCUCCUCUUUGUUCAUUAGCUGGAUCUCAGUGUUAUGCUUGGUUCCACUCGGCGUGAUAAGUUAUCUAUCGCUGAGGACACUGUAAAAGGUGGCCAAGGUAAAUGCAGAUGAACCGCUUCUAAUAGUCCAUUGACUUGGACAAUACUUUUAUGAUCUGAUCUCAAAUCAGGUAGGACCACCCGCUGAACUUAAGC